AGCGAACGCUGGCGGCAGGCCUAACACAUGCAAGUCGAACGAACUCUUCGGAGUUAGUGGCGGACGGGUGAGUAACACGUGGGAACGUGCCUUUUGGUUCGGAAUAACUCAGGGAAACUUGUGCUAAUACCGAAUGUGCCCUUCGGGGGAAAGAUUUAUCGCCAUUAGAGCGGCCCGCGUCUGAUUAGCUAGUUGGUGAGGUAACGGCUCACCAAGGCGACGAUCAGUAGCUUGUCUGAGAGGAUGACCAGCAACACUGGGACUGAGACACGGCCCAGACUCCUACGGGAGGCAGCAGUGGGGAAUCUUGCGCAAUGGGCGAAAGCCUGACGCAGCCAUGCCGCGUGAAUGAUGAAGGUCUUAGGAUUGUAAAAUUCUUUCACCGGGGACGAUAAUGACGGUACCCGGAGAAGAAGCCCCGGCUAACUUCGUG
This 433-nucleotide ribosomal RNA is filed under the name uncultured bacterium. RNAcentral describes it as "partial 16S ribosomal RNA". It matches the Rfam family "Bacterial small subunit ribosomal RNA", at positions 29 to 507 of the family's 1533-position model. The record is from RNAcentral.